GACAGAGGGUGCAAACGUUGUUCGGAAUUACUGGGCGUAAAGCGCGUGUAGGCUGUUCUGCAAGUCGGGUGUGAAAGCCCCGGGCUCAACCUGGGAAGUGCACUCGAAACUGCAGAACUCGAGUCCUGGAGAGGAAGGCGGAAUUCUCGGUGUAGAGGUGAAAUUCGUAGAUAUCGGGAGGAACACCGGUGGCGAAGGCGGCGACCUGGGUAGAUACUGACGCUGAGGCGCGAAAGCGUGGGGAGCAAACAGG
This 253-nucleotide ribosomal RNA is filed under the name uncultured bacterium. RNAcentral describes it as "partial 16S ribosomal RNA". It matches the Rfam family "Bacterial small subunit ribosomal RNA", at positions 524 to 776 of the family's 1533-position model. The record is from RNAcentral.